RNAcentral lists this ribosomal RNA (253 nucleotides) under uncultured bacterium. RNAcentral's name for it is "partial 16S ribosomal RNA". It matches the Rfam family "Bacterial small subunit ribosomal RNA", at positions 524 to 776 of the family's 1533-position model. The record is from RNAcentral.
UACGGAGGGUGCAAGCAUUGAUCGGAAUUACUGGGCGUAAAGGGCGCGUAGGCGGCAAAAUAAGUCAGAUGUGAAAUUCCACAGCUCAACUGUGGAGCUGCAUUUGAAACUGUUUAGCUAGAGCGUAAUUAGGGAAAACGGAAUUCCACAUGUAGCGGUGAAAUGCGUAGAUAUGUGGAGGAACACCGGUGGUGAAGACGGUUUUCUGGGUUAUCGCUGACGCUGAGGCGCGAAAGCUAGGGGAGCAAACAGG